GUCUACUUCAUGCCACCCUGAUCCCCUCUAAUCUGGGAAGCUAAGCAGGGCGGGGUCUGAUUAGUACUUAGAUGGCAGGAAAUGGAGGGGUGGGAAGUUGGAGGAGGGCAGUCU
RNAcentral lists this ribosomal RNA (114 nucleotides) under Nannospalax galili (Upper Galilee mountains blind mole rat). Lineage: Eukaryota; Metazoa; Chordata; Mammalia; Rodentia; Spalacidae. The record is from RNAcentral.